UACGGGGGGAGCAAGCGUUGUUCGGAUUUACUGGGCGUAAAGGGUGCGUAGGCGGCCGCGCAAGUCUGGCGUGAAAGCCCCGGGCUCAGCCCGGGAAGGGCGCUCGAAACGGCGCGGCUCGAGUGCCGGAGGGGAGAGUGGAAUUCCUGGUGUAGCGGUGAAAUGCGUAGAUAUCAGGAGGAAUACCGGUGGCGAAAGCGACUCUCUGGACGGCAACUGACGCUGAGGCACGAAAGCGUGGGGAGCAAACAGG
Molecule: ribosomal RNA, 253 nt
Filed under: uncultured bacterium
Lineage: Bacteria
Description: partial 16S ribosomal RNA
Rfam family: Bacterial small subunit ribosomal RNA
Source: RNAcentral